GGUGAGCGCUGCUCUCUAAAGGCCAUGUGAGAGCCUGCCUUGUUCUCCAGAGUCAUUGCGGUCUCUGGCCCAGCUGGACCAGUCCAGCUCAGUGCAGGUCAAACUGCAGGGCAGAGCAGCAAUGCCAGGGGGGCACUUGCAUUGAAUUCCACAUCUCUCAAGCAAAUUUUGGCUCACGCUUCUGGGUCUUUGGUGGGAAUCCUUCUGAACAUCUCUCGAAAGCACACUCAGAGAGGGGCUGUUACAGACCGAUGGGGCAGAGCUCAAAGCAGAGCAUUUCCUGGCUUUUCCUUCUCUUGAAAGGCCAGUCCGGGGUUAUUUGAGGGGUUUCUGUGCCAUCCCAACCUCCCACAUGUGCUGGGGUGGCUGCCCAGCCCUCAAAGCAAGCUUUUGCUCGCCUGGGCAUUGGCGCAAGGUCAGCAUCCCCUGGCAUGGAGGGAGCCUGCCCAGGGAAGCAUGAAGCAAGACAGGCUGUCUGGGGCUGUUCCCAGGGAUGCAUCUAGGAAUGUACUGGGUCACAUUGAAAGAUGUGACACUAACACUGCACUGUGGGUUCCCCCCAAGCCUCACAGCCUCAUCAGCAACAUCUUCAAGCUGGAUCCUGUCGAGAUGAGCAUUCCUGGCUUAUCCCACGCCUUUGCUACAGUGACCUUCACUCCAGAACAAAAGGAGGACUACCAGUGCACUUUCACAGCUUCCCUUGUUAGCCCAAAAAGCCAGAGGAUUUGCCACGUCUCAUCUGGUGCCUCGUUAUUUAUCUGCUGUACGGCAUGAUUCAAAUGAGGGAAAUUAUUUAGAACUGUUAUUCUGGAAGGCUCUGGCUGAAAUGGUUUCUGUGCCCACCAGUUCUGCCCUCCCAACAGCGAAACCAGUCCCGCCAGCCAACGGGACUGGUCAAUGCAACAGGAGCCACUGGGAGGGACUGGGAGGGACUGGGUGUCAUUAUCUAGUUAACUAAACCAAGUCCCUUCACUAUGAACCUUAGACAAGGUAAAAGGGAGGUAACUUGGUUUAUGUCUUUACAGGGGCCCAAUUAAGUUUUACGAUUUCUUUUUCUUUUCUCUCUCCGGGUUGUGUUGACCUCAGGCUGUUUUCUUUUUAUGGACCUCAAAUCGUUCUCCCUUUUACCUUGUCUAAAAUUUAUAGUGAAGGGACUUGGUUUAGUUAACUAGAUAAUGACACCUUUCUGCAAAGUUGAUAACUGUGCAGAUAACAAGCACCCAUCUGGCAGUGUCUGACCUGACAAUGGGUAAUGUUUUUGCUGCUCUGUAAGGAAUGUAUAUAUUCAUAGAGAGAAUAAAUAGAGAACAACUGUCUCCUUUCAACCCCUCCCUGAUCCCCCAGCGCUGAAUUUGCUUUUCUCAGAUAAUAAAUUCUGGUUGGAAACCAC
This is a long non-coding RNA of Pipra filicauda (Wire-tailed manakin), 1390 nucleotides long. RefSeq lists it as uncharacterized. The transcript has 2 exons. Lineage: Eukaryota; Metazoa; Chordata; Aves; Passeriformes; Pipridae. The record is from RefSeq and is a predicted model, not a curated record.